RNAcentral lists this transfer RNA (77 nucleotides) under Halanaerobacter jeridensis. Its description in RNAcentral is "tRNA-His". It matches the Rfam family "tRNA". Rfam says of the family: Transfer RNA (tRNA) molecules are approximately 80 nucleotides in length. Their secondary structure includes four short double-helical elements and three loops (D, anti-codon, and T loops). The record is from RNAcentral. Lineage: Bacteria; Bacillati; Bacillota; Clostridia; Halanaerobiales; Halobacteroidaceae.
GUGGAUGUAGCUCAGUUGGUUAGAGCACAGGAUUGUGGCUCCUGGGGCCGUGGGUUCAAAUCCCGUCAUCCACCCCA